AUGACGAACACGCCACCAUGCGCAUGGCAGACCUAUGCUGAUGGAGGUGGUGCCAGGAACGGCAUAGGCACGUUGAAUGUUGGGAUAGAAGGCAUCGGAGGCAGUGUCACCUUGGGCAUGGAAGGAAUGGCGGGGUGGUGUCGGCCAGGUGGCGUGCGCCAUGGCACGUGUGGCCGCCGAGGAGCGCGCACGCCAUGA
This 198-nucleotide ribosomal RNA is filed under the name Triticum aestivum (bread wheat). RNAcentral describes it as "partial small subunit ribosomal RNA". Lineage: Eukaryota; Viridiplantae; Streptophyta; Magnoliopsida; Poales; Poaceae. The record is from RNAcentral.